CUGAUGCAUCACCACACUACUUUCCAGCAGGCAACACCUCUCCAUGGCACACAAACUGUGUAUGUAGGCAUGUGAGGUAGAGAUAAACUCGUUAAUGAUGGUGGAGGACAGGCUGGCCAGACUGCACCCCGAGGCGCUGCCUAUCCCAGCCAGAGCUGAGCAAAGAGAGAUGGAGCCAGGGUACCCCGGGAGUAGCCUCUCUACCCAGCCUCUAGGAACCACCUUCUAACAGUGCACAAAUUGCCUGCCCCAGGACCUCCUGACAUUUCUUACCAGCAUAGAUGUUGUGCACCUUUCUCUGGGCAAACAAGAUACGCUUCAAUGUUAACAUUUUCAGUAGUCUCAAAAUAGUUGCCACUGACUGUGCUGGCAGCAGCACACAGAUUAAAGGGAAGCAGCUGCGGGAGGACUGGAGUGCAUGCUGAGGGAAACCAGGGGCGCACCUGGAGGAGCAAGGGCUCAUGGUGACAUCCUUGUGGGGUGCUCCACGUGAGAGUCAGAGCCCUCCUGGGCAGCAGAAAUGAGGGAUAGUGCAAGAUCUCCUCCCUUUCUUCUCCACUCCUAUCAGCAACCGGAAAACGUCCUUAAAACUGGAUGGAAAGACAAGACACGUGAGAUAGUAUGUUAUUUUCAAUGGAGUUUCUGGAGCAGCUGAAGUUUUGAGCUCAUCUACUGCUCUCUCUCUGAUUCAGAAUCGCAUUUCUCCAAAAUUUCAACCGUGAUGAACUUUCCCAAAACAGAAGCAGCAAGCUGCUUCCCACCAUCACAUACUUGGCCUGUAUCCUGUCUAUCCAUAUGCAGCAGAUGUAAAUAUAAUUUACUGGCACAAGCAGCUUUCUGCACAUGGCAACAUUCUGAGUCUUCUUUAGCAACCAUGUGAAGAAAUAAACCAUUUUACUGAUACACUAGAAUGCCCCAAUAAAGCUCCAUAAUGACCUGUGA
Molecule: long non-coding RNA, 942 nt
Filed under: Gallus gallus (chicken)
Lineage: Eukaryota; Metazoa; Chordata; Aves; Galliformes; Phasianidae
Description: long non-coding RNA NONGGAT008891
Source: RNAcentral